ACACCUUGGUUUUCUGGACUGUGGUAAGAAAGCAAACAGCCUUGUAGUACAGGCUUCAGUUGUGGGACUGCACCCUGUUGUUGAGACCCCCCCCAGGGGCUUAUUUCUUGUAUGUCCAUGCAGGAUAGUUGGAGGGGUGGGGAAUGGAAGGAAGAGGCAUGGAUGAGACCUGCAUCUUCUGUUCAGCAAAUUUCUGUAAGUAAUGUUAGUACUACUAAUAUUAUCCCUGUUCUGAUUCUUACUAUUACUAUUAUUUGUUUUCCCAUAUACUUUGCCAACAAAGCACCUGGCAGGUCCAGUAAGAAAAGGAAGUUUCCAAACAGGUGACAGAAGGAAACCAAAUGAUUUAAGUAUGCAAGUGGUGGUGGUGGUGUUGGGAAGGUUCAGGAACCAUGGGGGAGGCAAGAGUUUUUGUUAUGUCUUUUGUGGCAACAACAGCACGGUUUGGACGGACAGAAGCAAGGUUUUAGGCAUCCCAGUCCCCUUUUUCAGUCCUGGUUCCUUCCCAGCAUCCUGAGGAAAGGUACUGUCAUACCCCAAAGGUUGCCUGUAUCUUACAGUUGGUCUGGUAAAACAGGGGUCAAAAAACCUAUGGCCUGUGGUUUGGAUCCAGCCUGUGAAGAAACUGGUUCUAGCCUGUAGCAGUUCAACCAAGGAGCAGCACACUCCCACAGUGACAGCAGCAGGGACAUCCCCAGCGGCCUGUUGCCACUGCGUUCAGUUUGUUCUUUGUGCUGCAGCAGAAGCAGCCUCCCCAGGGUCCCGGCCCCUGCCUCUUUCUUUUGAGUCCCUUCACAGCCUGUGGAGAUUGCCGGGGAGCAAGCUGUCACGUUGGCAACGGUGCACGACGGCAAAAGAACGGCCCUUCCCUGCAAGGAAAGAUUGCACCUAACUCCGAGCGAGCAGAGCAGAGCAGAGCAUGGACACAGAGCGAGAUGCUCAAAAGUAGGGUAGUCUGGCCUUGCCGUUGCUAGGAGUGCCCAAGUAGGGAGGUGUUGGAAUAAUUUCUCAGCUUUUUCCCUAGAUCGCUCUAAGAGGAGAGGGGAGCGCUAAGCACACUUGGGUUCGUGCACGCUCCCCAUCGUUUUCAGAAGCGGACGGCAGGAGAAAGUUUGCGGUCAGCGAUAGCAGCACAAGGCCACGCAACCAGGCUGGGGAACGUGGGGCUCUUUCCUAAACCAGGAGUGGCAGGACUUGCACAGCUUUGCCAGGAUCCUGGCUGUUGUGGAGAGACUUUGGGUUGGAGAUGGAUGCAAAGAAGUGGAGGCGUGCCAUGGUGAUGGAGGAUAGAGCAGGAGGAGUAGUGUGAUGGAAGAUGACCAAAGUCUGGUCCUGAGUGGAGAAGAGCUGAGGAAGAGGUGAAGAGCCCUGGAGCUGGUAUGGCGUGGAAGGAGUUGGAGACGGCCUGAAGCCAUGCUCACGUGAUCACCUGGAGCGAGCAGGUGCCUGCAUCGUAUCUGGGAAAGGGAUAGCAAGCAUGAGGACUGAUGGCGCACAAGGACUGAAGGCGCAGCGUGAUGCCAGGUGUGGAGCCAUCUUCUGAAGGCUUGAGGGCUGUGGAGCAGACUCUGUGAAGAUGAAGUGAAGAGUCCCAGAGAUGGUGCAGGAGGAAACGGGCAGCCCUGUUGUGACUUCCUGAUUUGCGUGGUGUGAGGCCUCUUCCCCUGUGGCAUCACCUGGCUGGAGUCUGGGGAGGUUUUGUGUGUAGCUUUGCAGGCGGUGCGUCUCCGCUCCCACUUCUUGCUGUGAGGAUGCCUGGAUAAGCAGCAGCAUGAUUGUGGCUGGGUGGCCUCAAUGUUGUGGGGGAGAGGAACAGAAGCGAGGCUUCUGCGGUGGUGGUAGAAGAUGGAGGAACUGGAUCCCGAAAGGUGGGCUGGGUUAAAGUGGGAGGCUGGGUUGCGUUUUCCCUGGUCGUGUUUGGGUGGGGAAGGAAACGCCUUGUGCGUAAUGGGGUCUGGAGCUCCGUGCUGUCUGGGAAGUGAUGCUGAAGCCGGGACUUGUGGCCCUUAGGGAUGCUGCAGAGCAGGGGGUGUAAGCCUGAAUUGGGUUUAGUUUGGUGGUGAGACCUGACUCCUUGUAAAGGCUGGAAAUUGUCCUUGAGUAUAUUAGGGGUUUCAGUGUUUGCCCCUGGCUUCUGGGUGCAGGUGACAGCAUUGGAUGUGCUGGGACAGAGGAGCGGGUGCGUGCGUGUCCGCCUCUGCCUGGCUGUUGCUGCUGCCACUGGUCUUCCUUCAGUUCUGGGAAUUGCACUCUGUCCUAUGUCUCUGGGUGUGUCACUGGUGUUUCUUUCUACUUUGAUAUCUAAAAUCACAGCAGCACUUCUUCUUUCUUUCUUUGCUCUUCCCAGAGCUGGAAGGAUAGGUGUGUUUGCAACUGAAUUGAUCCCCUCAUUUGGGUGGGCUUUGACUGCACCCUGUGUGCCUCGCGUGCGAGUGGGGGUGUUAUGCUUUCGGUGUCCUAGGCUGCUGGGGGUGGGGGGCGUUGUCUCUGCUGUCAGUACUAUGAGACGUGAAUACUGUUGCGUGUAGUAAUUGCUUGUUGUUUUGGGUGUGAUGUUAAUAUGUCGAGCGUGAGUGGAGAAGAGCUGAGGCGGAGACCUAGAGCCAGCGCUAGGUAGAAGCGGGUGGAGGAAGCAGGUGGUUGUGCAGCCAUGCUCGCUUCUGGGUCACCUGGAGGGAGGCCUCUGCCUGUUCGGUGGACCUGUGUGCACGAGCAGAGCCUGCAGAGGUCCCUGCUUCCCCUGUGUGGAGAGGAUGGCAAGGAGGGAGGAGAGCGCGCUGGAGGAAGAGGAGCGCGAUGCCAGGUCCCAUGAGUGCUGUCUCUUGGGGGUCCUGACCUGUGCAGAGGGAAAUGACUGCCGGUUGAAGGAGUGAAGCUGAGCAGCGCCCACGGAGGGUGAAGCAGGAGGAACUCGAUGCCGCACGGCGUGUCGGUGCCGGAUGGGCAGUUCUGGCAAUUGGUUUCUGUUUUUCUCCAGCCCAGUCCUGGGUGUUGGGCAUUGACUAGGUAGGGUAGACGACUGGAGAUCGAUCUGGAUGUUUCUGACAAACAUCUGGAUGUUUCUGACAAACAUCUGGAUGUUUCUGUGGGUGUCAGAGAAAAGGUCCUUCUUGUGGUGGUGUCUCCAGCAUAUGCUGUGGCUGCUGUGCUGUGGUCCCAGCAGAGGCAAGCCUUGGAGAGCUGAGAGGGUCCUGGUCCUUGGAGAGAAGUUUGAGCAGAGAAGGGUGGAAGAUGGAGGCAGAGAGGAUGGUGCAAGCAGGGGGUCUUUUUACCAAGACUUUUGGGGCAGGGAGGAGAAGUGGAGAUUGGGCAGAAGAAGAGAAGACACCUUGAAGUCAUGAACCAUGGAGCUGCCUGUCAUUGGUGCAUGGAACAUGUGAUGGGUGCUUGUGCUGUAGCUCUGUCGUGAGGAGCAGGGCAGGGGCAGUGACAUGCUGAGGGCUGGAGAAGGAGCACCACAAAGAUGGCUGUGAGGCCUUGGUCAGGCGUGAAGUAUGUGAGCCAGGAGAGUCGUACAGCACACACGCAGGAUGGAGGGCAACAAGUCGAGUGGGGGGCUUCUUUGGCCAGGGCUGCUGUGAAAUCUGGCGUAGGGCUAGGCCGGCCGGUCCGAGUCUGUCGGACUCCACGUAUAGGAGAAACGACAGAUGUCUAAGGAGCUUGUGGGGCGUUUGAUCCGGGCUCAUCCCUGGCACUUGGGGUGCAGGCCUGGCCCCUCUCUGGGGUGUGUUGAGGGUGAGCUCUGGGUUUGCGUUCAUGCCCCUGACUUGCUGUUGCUACAGGCCUCCCUUCAGUCUUGGGAACAGCGCUAUGUCCUGUGUGCCUGGGGGUGUCACUGGUGUCUCUCUCUUUCUACCUCUUUGCAAAAUGUCUGCAGCACUUGUUCUUUUUCUGCUCUUGUCAGGACUGGAGGGAAGGCUGUGGUGGGUUUUUUCCUGCCACCUAAAAUGGUUUCCACCUCGGGGAGGGGUCUGACUGCACCCUGUGUGCCCUGUUUAGGCUGGGUGGGGGUAUCGCCUUUGAAUUCUCGGGGGUUGCUUUUGCCCUCAGGGCUGUGAGUCCCGUGUGCCGCGUGACUUUUCCUAAUUUAUUUUUGUUUUGGUGACAUGUACGGGAGUCAUCUGGCUGAGGCUCGAGGCUCCUAAGUGGGCAUCGGGAAGAAGAGGUGGAGAUAUAGCGCCUGUGACCUGAGGAAGCUGGUGAAAGAAACGGAUGUCGGCGCAUUCGCUUUGCGGUUGCCCGGCGUGAGACUUCUGCCCGUGUGGUGGCCCUGGGCUGGAAGCCUUGCUGCGUGAAGCCUGCGAUAGAUGUUGGAUUGCUGCUCCCUGUGUGGUGAGAAGGAUUGGCUGCAAUGACUGGAGGCCUGGAAAAGGAGCCGUGUGGCCAGGGUCCUGGCCUGCAUGGAGGGAAGUAGGUGAGAGGACUGCAUCGUGGAAGAGCCGUGGGACAGUGUUGGAUGACAGACACGGACCGGCCGGAUGUUGCCCGCUACGUUGGAAUGUCCCUUCUGUAUUGGGAUUCUGCGUGGGGGUGUGGGGUGGGUUUGGGAGUGUCCUCAGCUUUAUGAUCCUGGAGCCAGGGGUUUGCAAGUAGUAUGUUUGGGUCAGUUUGUCUGUGCUGUGGGUGGACCUAGGGUGACCAGAGGUGAAAUCCAUUCCUGUGACCCUGUAGUUGGACCAGCACCCAGACACUUGCAGGAACCGCUGGGCAAGCAGGCCCAGAGCUUUCAACUGUUGAGCACGGCAAUGCUGGAGCCAGCUAGCAUGGAAGCAGAAGGGCCGGCCGGGCGCGGGGCCUGGGCUGCCUCUGUGGCUUCUGUGCUAGUGAGGUUGAGAAUUGCAGUGCUGGGGGGUUGGAGGUUUUGGACCUGCUUGUGCAGGGUUCUUGUUGGUGUUGGGGUGCUGGUUCUGCUGGGUCAGAGCAAUGGGUUUUAUUCUGCCUGACUGCCAUGUUUACCGUGUCCUACAGGGCUGGGAGCCUGUCGUAGCAGCGUGUGUUUGGGUGGGGCGGGGCGGUUGUCUGGUUUGGUCCCUGAGCAGUGUGGUGAGCAUGUUUGUUAUUACCCUGAAAUAAAAUAGUUUUCUGAUAGCCUACUGUUAGGCUAACAAUAAUUUAGAUUAUUAAGAAGUAUUAGCUUUGCAGUUGAAUACAAGGCAUGACCUGUGGCCUAGCAAUGCCGCUGACCACAAGGCAGAAUGAUAGCUAAGCCUUUGCUUAUGUUAAGUAAUGAUUUUAACUGUGUUGACUAUUUUCUGAGUAAAAUGCAGCAAGUGAAUCUGUCUGUGUGCUGUAAACCAGAUACAGCAAGGAACAAGGUAAGAGGAAGAAGGCAUUGUUCUAAGUACAGUGAUCGUGUCCUUAAGAAGUAUCUAGUACUGUGGAAGUUUUUGCUAAGAUAUCAUAAUGUUACUGUUACUUAAGUUAGAAAAUAUUGUUGGAAAAUCAAUGUGACCUUUGUUUGACCUUUGGUCAAUCCUGGCUGAUGCAACCUUGCAGUAAGAUUGCCAUGAUCUGUCAAUAUAGGCGGGCAAACAAGGUGAUUGGGCCCAACCGUGCGGGGCGAGCAAAGCCAAGCCAUCUUGGUGAUUUCCUCUGAGUUUUGCGCAUGCGUUAUGAAGGAGCUUAUGUAACCAGAGUUUAUAAAUCUAUGUGUUUGAGUUGCAGUCGGGGGUCUCUCUGCCCUUACGAGGACAGGGGACCUUUGGUCCAAUAAACUGAAAAGACCACGCCCUCGUCUCCUGCUUAUUGGAGUCUCAGGUGGGAAACGAGCCCUGUUCGGGUUAAGAGAGUCUGCAGGUGUUCCCUUACCAGAUUGGGAGCCUGGUCAGACAAUUUCUCUCACAAUUUGGCGAGCCAGCCAGGAGCACCCAGCUCGUCGCGCUGCCGCUGCCGCCUAAACCCAACCUCCGGCCGGCCGUAACAGAGGUGAGUUCACCACGGGAGUCUUGGGUUGAGGCUGCAGACACGGCGGGACGAUAAAGUGACUCCUUCAAUUUUACUGGCACGGUGUGGUCUUUUAUAUGUUGUGUAUGUCUUGUCUAAUGUGUUAUAGGCCAGUCUGUUCUCCGGUUCCUCAAACCUGGGCACACAGGCAAUUUUAGUUAAUUGCCCGUUCGACUCUUUUGAGCCGAUAAAUCUGUGUGGCGCGUUUUAUGUCUCCAUUCGCGCACUGAGGAACCGUCUCUGUUUCUGACCUUUUAACUGGAUAAGUCCUCCAACCUGUUUGAGGCAUCCUAGAAGCCUGCCUUUCCAGGUUGGUUAGGUCUAGGGCAGCCAAGAAAGCAGGGUUUUUGGGGAGCUUAAUAGUAUAUCAAGUCAUCUGGGAAAGGGAUGUCUGCCAAGAAUGACGAUGGGACAGAAACAGUCAAUUCUGGCUAGUAGUCCUCUUGGAGAAUUGUUAAGCAACUGGAAUAAGCUAUCUGGACAUGGCCAAUUGAGUAAGAAGCGCGCUAUAGCCUUAUGUACUAGUGUCUGGCCCGGCUACACUUAUAAAAACCCUGAACUUCAGUGGCCAGUGUUGGGAUCCCUUAGUGUAGAUAAAUGAAGGUACCUCAGGGGGUUCCUAGAGGAACCCCAUCCCCGACUAAUGGAUUAUUGGUAUGUGUGGUGUGAUUUGAUGGAUUUAAUUCUGCAGAGGAAAAAAAAAACUGAUUAGUUCUGGCCGCUCAACAACGUCUGUGGUGUCUUCUCCCCCUUAUUCUCCCGCUAUGCCACCAUUGGUGACUAGGGGACCAGCCAUAAUAAACCCGGCCGCUUAGGCCGUGGCCCUUCCGGCACCUUUUACCCCUCCAUCAGGCUCCUCUCCUCCCGUAACAGGAGUGUCAGGGUCUGUACCUGCCUCCUCGGAGCCUACUUUCAGUCCCAUAGCAGGACAUACUAGGUAGCGUUUGAAUCAGGUCAUACACCUGCUCUUGUACACAUGUAAUGACAUCUGCACACCCCCAUCACACAUGCAGUCACGCCUGCUCAGAGUCCCUUACAGACAUGCGCCUGCACAGAACCCCAAAACACACUGCGACAUACACAUGUGCCCCAACAGGUGUCCGUGACACACUUGCACACAAAUGUGCAUCCUCGCACACAUGCAUGUGCAGUCUCACACACGUACCCAGAGCCCAGGUGCUUGUGACACGUGCAUGCUCACACACACAUGGAACUCAGGUGUCUGACACACAUGCAUAUGUGCUCUCGCGGACACAGUCUAGCACACAUGUACAGAACCCAAGUGUCUGUGGCACACAGGCAAGUACCCUGACAUAUUCACAUUCACACACACACAAGCCCACAUGGGUAGAUAUGAAUCAACCUGCCCCCAAUGAUGUGUGCAAUUAUUGUAAACAAUUGGGGCAUUGGAGACGAGAAUGCCCAAACUGCCCUAAGGGACUUCCCCCUUAUGGAGGAAGAAAGGGGGGAACCCAGGGAAACAACCGGGCUGCCAGCACCGAUCCUACAGAUCCCUGGGUCCAGAGUUUGCAACAAGAUAUAGAUGACUCCCAGUGAAAUAAGGGGGCGGCUCUUCCACACGAUGUAUUUAGGGGAAUCUUCCUCUUUUGAGUAUACCUGCGGCCCUUCAUCCCCUUAUGUACCACUUCAAAUAGCAGGAAAAUUUAUAAAUGUCUUAUAGAUAGAGGAGCAGAUCUGUCCUCACUGGGAGAAUCUCCAGAAAGGGCGGGAAUUGCAGUCUCAGGAUCUGAAAAGAUUACGAGAGUAAUUGGAAAAUCUAUGCAAGUGCCCCGUGGCACUGAAACACAAGUGCAGAUAGGACCCUUGACCACCAUUCAUGCUUUCCUAUUAGCUGAAGGAACUGUAGUGCACCUCCUUGGAAGAAAUCUACUCUAUAAAGUACAGACCAGAAACCCUUCACCCUACUUAUGAGAAUCAAGACGUUGCUUCAGGUGUCUUAACUCAGCCAUGGGGAGUUUCUAAUCGUCCCAUAGCAUACUAUUCUGCUCAGUUAGAUCCUGUAGCAAGGGCAGCAAUUGUCUGUCUUAGAGCAGUCGCUGCUGCCACUGUGCUAGUUCAAAAGGCUCAAGAUUUAGUGUUAGGACACUCUCUUGUGGUUGAAAUAUCUCAUUCAGUGGAAGCUCUCCUACUACAGCACAACCUCUGCCAGCAGGGACCAACGCCCAGGCCGCUGAGCUAGCGGCACUCUGACGAGCAUGCAAAUUGGCCACAGCCUCCAGGGUCACUAUCUAUACUGACUCUAAAUAUGCUUUUAGUAUCUGUCAUGCGCUAGGACGGUCCUGGUGACAAAGAGGUUUUAUCACGUCCUCUGAUGCUGUAAUCAGCAAUGCCACGGAAGUCCAAGAACUGCUAGAGGCUGUCGUGUUACCAGGUGAUAUAGCGGUAAUGCACGGUCCCAGACAUUCCAGAGAAGAUACUGACAUCGCUAAAGGAAAGCAUCUCGCAGAUGCUGUAGCUAGAGCCGCUGCACUACAAACUAAAGGAAGUCUCUUUGCAUCUCAAGUUGUUCUUCCACCCUUGUCUGUUAUUUAUGACAAAGUCCCAGCGGAUGAAGUAUCUAUAUGGGUCCAAAAGUGGGAAGCUGCGCAAGGAAAGGAUGCAGUGUGACGUGUGCCAGACGGUAGACCAAUUGCUCCUCGCACCUUGCUCCGAAGUCUGGCUCAGGAUGCCCACAGAUGAUGUCAGUCGGGAAAAGGAGAAAUAGCAGAACAGGUCCUCUCCACCUGGUUUGCUCCAGGUAUACAUCUAGAAGCUGCCCGAAUAACUCUGCAAUGUUCAGAGUGCAGAGCCUUCAACAAAUACAGAGGACACACAAAAUUACAAGGGGCCCGACCGUGGGCCUAUUUACCCUUUGAAAAACGACAUGGAUUUGCUCAAAGCUGUAAAUUUCAAGCACUGCCUAGUAGCGGUAGAUCAAGUAACAGGAUGGCCAGAAGCUUUCCCCACUCGAGAAGCGGAUUCAGUAGCAGUAGCCAAACCCGUAUUAAAAGAAAUCAUCCCACAUUUCGGCAUUCCAGGAGGAAUAAACUCUGACCGGGGAACUCACUUUACAGAAACUGUUUUAAAAGAAGUUUACAGAGUUUUUGGAAUAAUAACAUACUUCCACGCACCCUAUCGGCCUCCGUCCUCGGGUCAGGUAGAGAGGAUGAAUCAGAAUAUAAAAUCCCUUUUAGGAAAGAUCUGCUCCUAAACCAAAUUGAAAUGGUCAGAUGCUUUACCAAGGGUGCUGUUUGCUAUAAGAACAAAACCCAAAUGGCCUCUCAACCUUGUCCCCCUACGAGUUGUUGUUUGGUCACGCUCCUGUUAUAUAAGAGAUGGGAAAAUCUGCAUGUUAGCUUACUCGGCGGAGAUGAAGCUUUAAUUAGUUAUGUUUUAUCCUUACAGGAGUCUCUCUAGUGUUUACACAGGUCAGCUGCUUUGGUUCAGCUGGUACCCCUGGACUGUAACCUUCACUCCUAUCAAUCAGGACGCUGAGUUUGGGUAAAACAACAUCGGCGAAAAACCGCCUCGGCCCAAGUCUGGGCAGGUCCGUACCAAGUUCUUCUUACUAUACACGCUGCUGUGAAAAUCGCCGAGAAAGAGGGCCGGAUUCAUUGCAGUCGCCUCAAACCUGGUAUCGGCAAGUAAUGACCGGUCAGCUGCUGUUCCGCCUUUGUGGCUAGAAAGAAUCGGAGAAUCGUGGACCGUUCAGACUCCUUAAUAGAAAUGAUACGUGUAUUAAGCUUGCUUUGUAUUAUCUUUCUUGUUAUACUUUGUGUUUGUAUUUCACUGUGGAUGCAGGGAAGGUUAUAAGUUAAUAAUGGCAUUUCACCGGGCUAUCCUAACAGGAUUAUUGCUCUUGAUGCAUAAAACACCAUGGCUAUUUAUGGGAAAGCGAUACAGAACAGGAAGACCAGUGGAAAGAUAAUGCUUACCUGAUUUCCACUAUAGCUAUAGCACAGGCCCUAAAAUUUGUCUAAUGGUUGGAUAUGUGGUACACAGUCUCCUUCUACUAACUUUCCACCCUAUCCUUUAAUCUCUUGGGAAGGGAUUUUUUCUAAUCCAGAGUGGGUUGAUACGGUUAGAGCUGGAAUAAGUACCUGGCAGGAGAAUCCUUAUUUUAAAGAGAGAGUACUUUCAGACAUCAUGUUAUCUGCCCAGGUGUGUUGGGAAAAUCCUCAUGGAAUAGGAAAAGAGAUUUUUAGGAUGGCAACCAGGUUGUAAACUAACCAUUAAUGCCACACACUUAAUUUGGCCUAACAAUACUGCAGUGGGGACUAAAGAAGCUGAAAAGAAAGGUUACAUCCCCUGGAAUGUGUGUGCUCCCUGCAGUUCCUUGCAGCGUCCUUAUGUAUGGCAAUGUAUGGAAGGUUCCAUCCGAUGCUCCGCCCCUAAUAAAACUUGGGCUUGGAGUCACGGCUGUUUCACGUCUUGCACAUACAGCUCCUUUGCAAAGCCAAGUUGUUCGUAUGUUAACUAUACCAUUUACAGAGACGGUUCAGUACCUUGCCCCAGAGAUCCUCAUACUACCGCAUCAAUCAACUGGCACAUGCGUUAGAACUUAUUGCCAAUAGCACAGCAGAGGGCAUUGAAUUAGUGCAAGACCAGGCUUCUUGCAACCAUGCUAUGACUUUAGAAAAUCGCUUCGCUUUAGACUAUUUGUUAGCUAGAGAAGGAGGGGUAUGUGCUUUAAUCACAGGAGGACCCUGCUGCACCUAUAUUCCUGACCACUCUGACAACAUAACUGCUGCAGUAAAAACAAUUCGAGACACAGCACGACUUCUUUGCGAAGUUGGUCAGUAAUAGAACGGAUUGCCUCAACUUUAGGAAUGUGGGGAAGGUAUAUCUUAGAAUACAUUUUAUGGGGAUUAGGAAUCUUCUUGGUUAUUAUUGUAAUAAUUGCUGUAAUUACAGCCUGUGUAGUUUGAGUGAAGCAAAAAGUAAUUAAUCUCAAUAUUAUGCAAACCUGGGAAAUGGCCAGCAGGCCAUAGGCCUGUGGCUGUAAGGGGGGAUUGUUAGAAACUAUUGUUGGAAAAUCAGUGUGACCUUUGUAUCACCUUUGGGCAAUGCUAGCUGAUGCAACCUUGCAGUAAGAUUGCUAUGAUCUGUCAAUAUAGGCGGGCAAACAAGGUGAUUGGGCCCAACCAUGCGGGGUGAGCAAAGCCAAGCCAUCUUCGUGAUUUCCUCUGAGUUUUGCACAUGUGUUAUGAAGGAGCUUAUGUAACAAGAGUUUAUAAAGCUACAUGUUGAGUUGCAGUUGGGGUCUCUGUUCCCUUAUGCGGACAGGGGACCUUUGGCCCAAUAAACUGAAAAGACCACACCCUUGUCUGCUGCUUAUUGGAGUCUCAGCUGGGAAACGAGCCCUGUUUGGGUUAAGAGAGUCUGCAGGUGUUCCCUUACCAGCUUGGGAGUCUGGUCAGACAAUUUCUCUCACAAUUAAUUUGUAGCUUUUAGAAAGUGCUAGUUCAGCUUAAUAGAAAUAUGCUGUUAUGAAGAUUCGUAAAGCACCGCCCAAGUAUUGCUUUUGGUUAACCCUUGUAGUGCGCAAGUUUGUUAUUACCCUGAAAUAGAAUAGUUUUCUGAUAGCAUACUGUUAGGUUAACAAUAAUUUGGAUUAUUAAGAAGUAUUAGCUUUACAGCUGAAUACAAGGCAUGACCUGUGGCCUAGCAAUGCAGCUGACCACAAGGCAGAAUGAUAGCUAGGCCUUUGCUUAUGUCAAGUAAUCAUUUUAACUACACCAAGCAUUUUCUGAGUUAAAAAGUGAAUCUGUGUCUGUGUGCUAAAAAAAAUCAGCUACAGCAAAAAGUAAGAUAAAACAGAGAAACCAUUGUUUGAGCUUACUGGUUGUGUCCUUGAAAAAUAUCUUCUACUGUAUAAGGUUUUGCUAACAUAAUGUUACUGUUACCUAACUUUUAGCUUUAAAAAGUGCUAGUUCAGCUUAAUAAAAAUAUGCUGUUACAAAGAUUUAUAGAACACCGCCCCAAGUAUUGCUUUUUGUUAACCAUAUAGUUUUGCUUUGUUGUAAAAAAUAUAAAAGAUCGCCUCACCCUUGAGGGGGGGCCUUUUUGCCUUUUGCUGGCUUUAUGGUCUUUGCUCGAGCAAAUAAACAGCUGUCUUUCUUUA
Molecule: long non-coding RNA, 12067 nt
Organism: Alligator mississippiensis (American alligator)
Lineage: Eukaryota; Metazoa; Chordata; Crocodylia; Alligatoridae
Exons: 17
Source: RefSeq, a predicted model, not a curated record